RNAcentral lists this ribosomal RNA (4116 nucleotides) under Triticum aestivum (bread wheat). RNAcentral describes it as "partial small subunit ribosomal RNA". The record is from RNAcentral. Lineage: Eukaryota; Viridiplantae; Streptophyta; Magnoliopsida; Poales; Poaceae.
AUGAGGCUUAACGGUUUGGAGCGAAACCCGAUGCCAGGAAUAGAAGACGCCCUGAUGAAGGACUCGCCCAAGGCUUCCUCCUUGGUGGAGGUGGAAAAACCUUCCCUUGGUGAUGUUGACGUUCUGGGCGGCGGAGGGUCCAUGCUUACGGGGAAGAAGAGGAAGGAUGUUCCUGCGGGCGAGAAUGGCGGCGUGGCAAAGAGGGUGCUCAGGUCAGCCACCAUGAAGCUGCAUGUGGAUGCUGAGCCCGAGGGUGAAGCUGCCGCCGCCGCGGAUGUUAGCGAGUGUGACGCUUUGGAGAAGACUGACUGUGAGGCUACUGCGGGUGACAGUUUGGAGAAGACUAACUGCGAGGCUACUGCGGGUGACAGUCUGGAGAAGACUAACUGCGAGGCUACUGCAGGUGACAGUCUGGAGAAGACUAACUGUGAGGCUGUUGCAGAGGAUGGCAGAAGCGGGGCGCAGACAGUCGACGCUUCUAAAGGCGAUGAGCACAUGGAUGAGGUUCCAGUGAAAGUGGAUGAUGCUAUACAAGUGCCAGCUAAGUGUUCUGAGAAUAAUGUGGAUAGUGCCGGUAUUGCUCAAGAGAAUGGCUUAGACAACCAAAAAAGCAAUUUUGAAUCUGAUGAUAAAGUGAAGGCAGACGAGAAGACUUACUCUGCAACUCAGGAGGAGGAGAAUGUGUCUGGGACAAGUGGGGGUGGUACUGAUGACUCCCAGGAAAACAAGGGUGCCAAUGGACCUUGCCAGGGGGAGGUCAUAGACCCAUCAGCUGCAGCAAAAGACGAUGAAUUGGUCAUUGAUGUAAGCAGAAACAACCCUACUAGCGCAUCAGAACCUGUUCAGCAGGAUGGUAAUGUUGUGCGUACUGAGGGAAUGGUACUCCAGAGUGGUGAUCAGGGAGUUGAGAAGCAUUGUCACGAUGAUGAUGUACGUAAAGACACUGAAGCUUCUCUAAAUGGUAAUGGAAGAUGUGUGGCUGAUAACAACAUCGCAUUAACUGAUUGCACUAACCAUAAAGAGGGCUUAGGUAGCCCUGUAGGCGGAACCAAGGGGAUUUCGACUCCUGACAUUGUAUUUAUAAGGAGAAAGUCGUUAACCAGAAACACAUGUGAAAUGAAGUUGAAACAUGAAGAGGAGGAGGUUCAGUUUGAGAGGAGAGUUACAAGGUCAUCUACAGUUAAACAAAGAGAGGCUUCUGGAAGCUCAUGCAAAAGUAGUGCAAACGCGGCUAGCAUGGAAAGCAAGGGGAGAAAGGAAGAUGUUGUUCAUCAUUAUACAAGGAAAGUGAGCAAUACUGCAUCCUUAAAAGCUGACCACACUGAACCUGCUAAACGUGGAACCAACACAAAGAAGAACACACCAAAUGGAAAGAUUAGUGCUCAAAGAAAAUCAGGUGUUACUGGCAAGGAUUAUCCUGCAAAUAUCACAGAGAACAAGGCAUCAGCAACAGAGAUAAAGAUCAAUUCGAAGCCACAGCCGUCCAUGAGAAGUGGCAGCAUUGCCAAGGCAACAACAAAAGAUGCAGUUCCUCUGGUGGAUCAGAAUGUCUGUAGUUCAGCUAUCACUGAAAAGAAUGAUACAGAGCUAACAGAUUCGGAAGGAGUUAGAUCUGAAAACAAGACUGCCAUGCCGAAGUCACCAUUAUCAGUUGGUGCUAAGAUUGUUGCCAGCAAGAAGAGGAUGUUGGAAUCAGGUCUUGAUAAAAUUGCUGGAGGGUCACCAGUUGAGACACCAUCCAUGAAAAAGACAAGAAGUACUUCUCACACCGAGUUAGAUCAAUCAAAGAAGUCUUCUGGGAAGAUGCUUACAGAGAAGAACUCCGGUCCAGACAAAAAAUAUAUUUUGACAAAACAGCAGCAUCACAGUCGAGCAGCUGAGUUGAGCAGAUCUGUUAACCCCUCUAAUAAAGAUGCCUGCAAGCUUUCACAUAAUGGAUCUGAUGUUGAUGGAACUGAUAUCAUCAUUACCCACAAGAGAAAUUGUAGAGGGCGCAGAGAACGUGAUGCUCCUGCCGUCAUGGUAAAUCAAGAGUAUUCUAGUGAAUCUGAGGAAGUUAUUGUUGUGAGAAAAGACAGGCGAAAAAGGAAAGAUCCAUUGCAUAAACAAAGGUCCGGAUCUAGACCAAACCGUUCUUCUGGUUCUCCCAAAGCAAGUUGUUCCAAAGGCAAUAGCGAGGCACAAUAUGGCUCCAGAGCAAAAUCUGGAAACCCAGGUGAAUCAACAGGUCGUUUUGAACAAAAGCGUCAAAUAAGCGAACAGGUAAAGACCAUACUUCUGGAUGCUGGUUGGAAGAUUGAUCUGAGACCCAGGAAUGGCAGAAAUUAUUGGGAUUCUGUCUAUAUACCUCCAAGUGGUAAAGGAUCUUACUGGUCAAUCACAAAAGCAUACGCAGUGUAUGAAAGUAUGCAAUCUGAGCAAAAGAACGAAGCUACAAGCGAGAAUUUAUCAAAGAAAUCUCCGGGCAGCCCUGGCAAAACACAUGCUUCUGUGAGUAGUUCUUUACCACAGGAGAUCCUCAGCAAACUAAAAAGAGUAGUUGUUAACAAGCGAAAGACCAAAGUUGAGCUUCAGAAGUUAAAAAAGAGGAAGCAUGGUUUGCUAAAGAACUCUAAAAAUUCAAAGGGCAGGCCAAAGGAAAAGAAGAAGAAGAUUUCAAAGGAAAGAAAAAAGCGAGGCGGUUGUGCUCUACUCGCUCGUGGAUCAAAUCAGGAGGCUGGAAGCAGCAAUGGUUUUGCUCCAUAUGAAUGGAAACGCACAGUUUUCUCCUGGUUGAUUGAUCUGGAUGUUCUAUCCGUCAACACUAGACUGAAAUGCAUGGAUGAAAGCCGCUCAAAAGUUCUGCUAGAGGGUUUACUCACCAGGGAUGGAAUUAACUGUAGCUGCUGUAGCAAGGUUGUCACAGUACUCGAAUUUGUGGCUCAUGCUGGUGGUCAACCGAGCAAACCAUACAGGAAUAUACUUGUGGAUGGGCUGGACAAUGACCUUUUGCAUUGUCUCAUUAGUGCAUGGGACAAGCAGUCUGAUUCUGAAAGACAGGCCUUUUUCCCUGUUAGCACUGAGGGUGAUGAUCCCAAUGACGACACAUGUGGUAUUUGUGGUGAUGGAGGCAAUUUGAUCUGCUGUGACGGAUGCCCCUCAACAUUCCACAUGAGUUGCCUAGAACUCGAGGAACUUCCAUCUGAUGAUUGGCGUUGUGCAAACUGUUCCUGUAAAUUUUGUCAGGAGCAUUUGAAUCAUGAUGCUCCAGACAAUGCUGAAGUUGAUUCAUUACAUUCUUGUUCCCAAUGCGAGGAGAAAUAUCACCCAGCUUGCUCUCCUGAGACUGAGGACCUAUCCAGUGUCUCCAAUCAGGCAGGAAAUCAUUUUUGCCAACAAAGUUGCAGACUGCUGUUUGAGGAAUUGCAGAAUCUUCUUGCGGUCAAGAAGGAUCUUGAACCUGAAUUUGCAUGCAGAAUUAUUCAGUGUAGCCAUGAAAAUGCACCAGAAACAGUUCUUGAUUUGGAUGGAAGGGUCGAGUGUAAUUCCAAGAUUGCAGUUGCUCUUUCACUGAUGGAUGAGUGCUUUCUUCCUAUUGUUGACCAAAGAACUGGGAUCAACUUGAUACGUAAUGUUGUGUACAACUGUGGGUCAAAUUUUCUCCGGCUGGAUUUCCGUGGAUUUUAUAUCUUUAUUUUGGAGCGUGGAGAUGAAAUAGUAUCUGCAGCAUCAGUCAGGAUACAUGGGACCAAGUUGGCAGAGAUGCCAUUCAUUGGUACACGACAUAUGUAUCGUCGCCAAGGGAUGUGCCGUCGACUUUUAGAUGGAAUUGAAAUGAUCCUCAGUUCUCUCAAAGUUGAGAAGUUGAUCAUUCCUGCUAUUAAUGAACUGGUGGACACCUGGACAUCCAAAUUCGGAUUUAGCCCACUUGAAGUUUCAGACAAGCAAGAAGUCAAGUCUAUCAACAUGUUAGUUUUUCCUGGUACAGGUCUUCUUCAAAAGCCAUUGCUAAAUAAGCAGGCUUCACCUCAGGAACACCCAGGUUCUGAAGGAGAUGCGGAUGCGGAGACCCAAGGUUCGGAGGUCAUGGAUCAGUUGAACAGCAGCAAAGAAGAUGCUGAAACUUGCAAAGAUUGA